This 84-nucleotide transfer RNA is filed under the name Nitrospinota bacterium. RNAcentral's name for it is "tRNA-Leu". It matches the Rfam family "tRNA". From Rfam's summary of the family: Transfer RNA (tRNA) molecules are approximately 80 nucleotides in length. Their secondary structure includes four short double-helical elements and three loops (D, anti-codon, and T loops). Lineage: Bacteria; Pseudomonadati; Nitrospinota. The record is from RNAcentral.
GCGAGGGUGGCGGAAUUGGUAGACGCGCUGGACUUAGGAUCCAGUGGCACGUCCAUGCGGGUUCGAGUCCCGCCCCUCGCACCA